Long non-coding RNA from Aedes aegypti (yellow fever mosquito), 289 nucleotides. RefSeq lists it as uncharacterized. The record is from RefSeq and is a predicted model, not a curated record. The transcript is spliced from 3 exons. Lineage: Eukaryota; Metazoa; Arthropoda; Insecta; Diptera; Culicidae.
GUUUGGUCGUCGGAUGAAUGCAGGCGCGCUCCGGAUGAGUGAAAAACUAGCUGCCACCCUUGGACAUAAGGAUUAUUCAGGGAUCAAUAUGGAGUGAUCAUUGCCUCCUAACUAUGGUCGUAGUGGACGUAGGAAUGUCCUGCUGGUAAACCCAUAACAACGGGAGCACUGCUCGGAAACGGAAGACCGGGAGCAGAUUUGCACAACUGUGCCAGCAUGCAUCAAAUGAUGAAAAUUGUACAUAUCAUGUAUGUUUUUAUUUAAAAUCAAAUAAAAUGUACUUAAUGUA